RNAcentral lists this ribosomal RNA (497 nucleotides) under uncultured bacterium. RNAcentral describes it as "partial 16S ribosomal RNA". It matches the Rfam family "Bacterial small subunit ribosomal RNA", at positions 28 to 507 of the family's 1533-position model. The record is from RNAcentral.
GAUGAACGCUGGCGGCGUGCCUAAUACAUGCAAGUCGAGCGAACAGACGAGGAGCUUGCUCCUCUGACGUUAGCGGCGGACGGGUGAGUAACACGUGGAUAACCUACCUAUAAGACUGGGAUAACUUCGGGAAACCGGAGCUAAUACCGGAUAAUAUAUUGAACCGCAUGGUUCAAUAGUGAAAGACGGUUUUGCUGUCACUUAUAGAUGGUUCCGCGCCGCAUUAGAUAGUUGGUAAGGUAACGGCUUACCAAGGCAACGAUGCGUAGCCGACCUGAGAGGGUGAUCGGCCACCCUGGAACUGAGACACGGUCCAGACUCCUACGGGAGGCAGCAGUAGGGAAUCUUCCGCAAUGGGCGAAAGCUUGACGGAGCAACGCCGCGUGAGUGAUGAAGGUCUUCGGAUCGUAAAACUCUGUUAUUAGGGAAGAACAAAUGUGUAAGUAACUAUGCACGUCUUGACGGUACCUAAUCAGAAAGCCACGGCUAACUACGUG